CGUUUGCAAUCGAAUCCGACUAAUGAAUACACCAGUAGUUUGUGGAGGUUACAUCACUACAUAAGAUUAUUAAUCAAUCAAUGUAGGUAGCUAAGUAGUAUGGAACUGCUGAAAGAUAGCCAUGUUACUCUGGUGAUUGUUUGCGCAUUCUGCAGCUUGAUCAAUGCACGUUUCCUACAGGCAGCACACUCUUUGGCUAACGUCGAGAGCUAGUUUACCUUGGUCAUUGGUCACACGGUAAGAAAUAUAUUUCACACAGGUUGACUCUUCCACGUGUGAGAUAUGCUUAUUGACCUCUUCAAUUGUUUCAAAUACAGCUUCGUCGCUCAUUUUUAUUUAUACUCUGCUACCAAUACAUAUAAACAUUCAAAUGUCGCAAGCUAAACUAAAGCGGUAAUGUUUGCGAUUAUUUAAUUGGUUCACGUGCGGAUCAAUAGACCCGCCUUCUUAAAAUGGUGGUUUCUCAUUGGUGUAUCGCGAGUUCCGUCACUAAAAUGGAAACAAACGAUUGGCUUCUAUUCGAAACCAAUCAACCCUUUUCUUACGCGUCAAUCACGUUGAGGACAACACGCUUAACGGUACCGAAUUUAAAAUAUUUUCGUAACAAUUUUCCUCAAUGUUUCAACAGAAUACAAUCCAAGUUACGAAUCGUAUAUUUUGGCAUACAAGUUAUACUUUGUCGAGAUCAUGGACUCAGUUAUAUCAAGGACAAGACUACUGCACGUACAACCGCUUGCAUCAGGGACCAGUCAAUGGUCCUCUUCACAGUCAAGACACAGCAGUGGUCCGAUUUUGUCAGUUGCUUUCAGGCAGUAUCUAAGAGACGUACCUCUACAUAAAUUCUCUACCACAACACACGUCUGCAGCGAUUCUAUUGGGAAACGCAUGACCACUUGGUUUACACAUGCAAGGUGUGCUCAACCAGGUCAACGAAGAGGAUAUCCAAGGUAGCCUAUCAUAAAGGUGUUGUCCUAGUGACCUGCCCAGGAUGUGAAAAACACCACAUUAUUGCUGACAACUUGGGUUGGUUCUCUGAUCUGAAGGGAAAGAGGAACAUUGAGGAAAUCCUUGCAGCGAAAGGGGAGAAAGUGAAGAGGGGAGAAGAAGAGGCGGCCUUCGAGAUUGUUAUAGAGGAGUCCGGCAAGGAUACAACACAGACUGCUCAAGAUGCAAAGAAACCUUCACCAGAGUCUGAUGACUCAGGGAAACCAUGACUAACUCUCUGUGGGUGUGUGUGCGCACAACAAGGACAUCGUUCUCUAUGAGGGGAAAAAUUGUAAUUACAAAGUAAAUGUAACACUUCUUUUGAUAUUUCUUUCUCCAUAUUGUUUUCAUAAGAUGUUGAUCAUUUCUUAUCACACUAUUUUAUACCAACUGAACACUACUGCCAGAAUAUUCCUUGGGUUUAGACCAAUCUUACUACUACUGAACUGAUCACACUCAAACAGAAGAGGCUGAUGCUUGCAAUUCAUUUUUAUUGUAAAGUUGUAUGAUAUGAAGCAGGAAGAAUUAACAUUCAAAGGCCCAUUUAGGGCCAUGGCAAACUGCCUAUCAUAGACCCUCUCCCUCUUCCUCCAUGGUGUCCUCCAGCAGCACAUGAAAGCAAUGCUGUCAAUCCACAUGGAAGCAGAACAUAGAGUGCUCCUGUAAAACAAUUAUCCCGUCAGGAAUUAAUCAAACAGAUAUUGAACGAAUGGGAUUCACAGUUAUACAUUAGUCUGAAAAUGUUCAAUCAUUAACCCCAGUUGUGGAGCCCCUAUCCUCUCAUCACAAGCCCAAGCACUUACCUCAUCUGCUCUUCUGUGUUUUCCUCUUCCUGCCUCCCUCCCUUUCAUCCUUUCCUAUUGAUGCUUCAGCAGAUAAAGAGACCUCAUAUGCCACAAUCUGUUUCAGGAAAAAAAAACAUCUGAAAGCCCACUCACUUGAGGUGAAUAAUCACAUGAGAUCAGGAAUUGUAGUGUUUGAGUUGAACAACAUUACCUAAACAUACUUCUGUCAACACUAAUACAGUUGUCUACAGAGAACAGGCUUUGAUAGUAAACACUUACCUAAUGUAGUCAUCCAGCUGUGCUCCUCCUCCAACCCUCCCAUCCUUUCCAAUUGAUGCUUCAACAGAUCUGUUUCUUUGGCUGCUCUUUUCAUCUAUCUGAGACUUGAACAGGCUUAGAAAGAGGACAAAAGGAAACCAAAACAACUUUAAAAGAGAAGUAGAAGAGGCAGACUUCCUUUCUUUUUGACGUCUGUUGGUUAUUUUUCCUGUGCUCUUGGUCUUCUCCUUAUCUGCUAAUCCUUAGUUAUUGAGAUAUUUAUUUUGGCCAUAUGUCCAUCAGAAUUCUAAUUCAAUCUCCUCUCUAUUACUCUUAGUGUUUUCACCUCUUUUCUCUGGGUCUCUGUUUAUCUUGCCUCCCUCCUUGUGUUUUCCAUAACUUUCUUUUGAUCCACUCCGCUCUUCUUUACUGCUAAUCUCAUUUACCUUUUAUCCCAUGGUCCUUCAUGAUUCUGUCCAUCAGAACUUGAAUUCUAUAUCUCCUACUUCCCUCCUGAUAAACCACUCUGGUCUCUCAUGUUUCCUCCUCUUCACCCUCAGGCCUGGCUUCCUUAUAAUUUGUUCCUCCUUUUGC
Molecule: long non-coding RNA, 2621 nt
Organism: Oncorhynchus gorbuscha (pink salmon)
Lineage: Eukaryota; Metazoa; Chordata; Actinopteri; Salmoniformes; Salmonidae
Exons: 3
Source: RefSeq, a predicted model, not a curated record